This 722-nucleotide long non-coding RNA is filed under the name Suricata suricatta (meerkat). RNAcentral's name for it is "lncRNA (ENSSSUG00005004427.1)". Lineage: Eukaryota; Metazoa; Chordata; Mammalia; Carnivora; Herpestidae. The record is from RNAcentral.
AGGGGAGCUGCGGGGCGGCACGAAAGGCAGGGGGGUAGCUGGCGGGAGGGCCGGGGUGGCGUGCCUGUGGUGCAGCCACCUAGGCCCCUGGUUUGGUCCCUUGUCCUCAGCUCAUGUGAGGGCCGAGGCAACCUUCCAUCUCUGGGAGGCCGCGUGCUGGAAAGGCGGGGCCUGGAGGCCUCUCGGUCGCCCCUCCGCCCCCUCAUCCUGUGUCAUCGAGGGCCACCGGCCGCCCGGGUAGUCCUUCCCCGAAGGUGGAAAAACUCAAGGAAUCUUCCAGGAGGAGAUGCCUCUGCACAAUGCUCCCGAGGGUGCAUCCUGGCCCCAGACGCAGUCCCUGGGCCUGCAUAGAAGGAGGCAGAUGGUGGGGGGGGCACAUUCUGCCGGGGAGCUCCCUGCGUGCCUCCCCCCUCCCCCGCGCCGGAGUGCAGAGCCGUGUGCACCUGCCGCCAGCAGAGGGUGCCACACUCCUCACAACCCAGGGCGGAAUCGGGCCGGGUGGGCGAGCAUCAGCCCACUGGGACCUUAGUCCUGGCCCCGGGCCCCCAGGCCCUUCCUGGGUUAGCGGCCAGCGGCCAGCUGGGGUCUGGGGAGGGGUGGGCAGCACCAGCUCGGGGGUCUCAGGCCCCUGGGAGGGGAGGAUCCCUCGUUCCUGCUGUAGGAGGGAGGUGCGGACAGUGCAACAGACCUGCUGCUCCGACCUUGACCCUUCAAGUAGAUAG